GCUCAAAUUUGAAAUCUGGCCCUUGGGUCCGAAUUGUAAUUUGUAGAGGAUGAUUUUGGUGCGGUAUCUUCCGAGUUCCUUGGAACAGGACGCCUUAGAGGGUGAGAGCCCCGUACGGUUGAAUGCCUAGCCUCUGUAAAUCUCCUUCGACGAGUCGAGUAGUUUGGGAAUGCUGCUCUAAAUGGGAGGUAAAUUUCUUCUAAAGCUAAAUACUGGCCAGAGACCGAUAGCGCACAAGUAGAGUGAUCGAAAGAUGAAAAGCACUUUGAAAAGAGGGUUAAAUAGCACGUGAAAUUGUUGAAAGGGAAGGAUUUAUGACCAGACUUUUUCUGGGCGGAUCAUCCGGUGUUCUCACCGGUGCACUUUGCCCAGUUUAGGCCAGCAUCGAUUUUUGGAGAGGGAUAAAAGCUUUAGGAAUGUGGCUCCUCCGGGAGUGUUAUAGCCUAUUGUAUAAUACCUUUCCGGGGAUCGAGGUACGCGCUUCUGCAAGGAUGCUGGCGUAAUGGUUAUCAAUCACCCGUCUUGAAACACGGACCAAGGAGUCGAACAUUUGUGCGAGUGUUUGGGUGUUAAACCCUCACGCGUAAUGAAAGUGAACGGAGGUGAGAGCCCUUACGGGUGCAUCAUCGACCGAUCCUGAAGUUUUCGGAUGGAUUUGAGUAAGAGCAUAACUGUUCGGACCCGAAAGAUGGUGAACUAUGCGUGGAUAGGGUGAAGCCAGAGGAAACUCUGGUGGAGGCUCGCAGCGGUUCUGACGUGCAAAUCGAUCGUCAAAUCUGCGCAUGGGGGCGAAAGACUAAUCGAACCAUCUA
Molecule: ribosomal RNA, 812 nt
Filed under: Seiridium guangyuanum
Lineage: Eukaryota; Fungi; Ascomycota; Sordariomycetes; Amphisphaeriales; Sporocadaceae
Description: partial large subunit ribosomal RNA
Rfam family: Eukaryotic large subunit ribosomal RNA
Source: RNAcentral